UACGGAGGGGGCCAGCGUUGUUCGGAAUCAUUGGGCGUAAAGGGCGCGUAGGCGGGGAUGUAAGUCGGGCGUGAAAUCCCCAGGCUCAACCUGGGAACUGCACUCGAAACUGCGUUUCUUGAGUAUCGGAGAGGAAAGCGGAAUUCCUGGUGUAGAGGUGAAAUUCGUAGAUAUUGGGAAGAACACCGAUGGCGAAGGCAGCCAUCUGGACCGACACUGACGCUGAGGCGCGAAAGCGUGGGGAGCAAACAGG
RNAcentral lists this ribosomal RNA (253 nucleotides) under uncultured bacterium. RNAcentral describes it as "partial 16S ribosomal RNA". It matches the Rfam family "Bacterial small subunit ribosomal RNA", at positions 524 to 776 of the family's 1533-position model. The record is from RNAcentral.